GGGUUGUGAGGUUAAGCGACUAAGCGUACACGGUGGAUGCCCUGGCAGUCAGAGGCGAUGAAGGACGUGCUAAUCUGCGAUAAGCGUCGGUAAGGUGAUAUGAACCGUUAUAACCGGCGAUUUCCGAAUGGGGAAACCCAGUGUGAUUCGUCACACUAUCAUUAACUGAAUCCAUAGGUUAAUGAGGCGAACCGGGGGAACUGAAACAUCUAAGUACCCCGAGGAAAAGAAAUCAACCGAGAUUCCCCCAGUAGCGGCGAGCGAACGGGGAGCAGCCCAGAGCCUGAAUCAGUGUGUGUGUUAGUGGAAGCGUCUGGAAAGGCGCGCGAUACAGGGUGACAGCCCCGUACACAAAAAUGCACAUACUGUGAGCUCGAUGAGUAGGGCGGGACACGUGGUAUCCUGUCUGAAUAUGGGGGGACCAUCCUCCAAGGCUAAAUACUCCUGACUGACCGAUAGUGAACCAGUACCGUGAGGGAAAGGCGAAAAGAACCCCGGCGAGGGGAGUGAAAAAGAACCUGAAACCGUGUACGUACAAGCAGUGGGAGCACGCUUAGGCGUGUGACUGCGUACCUUUUGUAUAAUGGGUCAGCGACUUAUAUUCUGUAGCAAGGUUAACCGAAUAGGGGAGCCGAAGGGAAACCGAGUCUUAACUGGGCGUUAAGUUGCAGGGUAUAGACCCGAAACCCGGUGAUCUAGCCAUGGGCAGGUUGAAGGUUGGGUAACACUAACUGGAGGACCGAACCGACUAAUGUUGAAAAAUUAGCGGAUGACUUGUGGCUGGGGGUGAAAGGCCAAUCAAACCGGGAGAUAGCUGGUUCUCCCCGAAAGCUAUUUAGGUAGCGCCUCGUGAAUUCAUCUCCGGGGGUAGAGCACUGUUUCGGCAAGGGGGUCAUCCCGACUUACCAACCCGAUGCAAACUGCGAAUACCGGAGAAUGUUAUCACGGGAGACACACGGCGGGUGCUAACGUCCGUCGUGAAGAGGGAAACAACCCAGACCGCCAGCUAAGGUCCCAAAGUCAUGGUUAAGUGGGAAACGAUGUGGGAAGGCCCAGACAGCCAGGAUGUUGGCUUAGAAGCAGCCAUCAUUUAAAGAAAGCGUAAUAGCUCACUGGUCGAGUCGGCCUGCGCGGAAGAUGUAACGGGGCUAAACCAUGCACCGAAGCUGCGGCAGCGACGCUUAUGCGUUGUUGGGUAGGGGAGCGUUCUGUAAGCCUGCGAAGGUGUGCUGUGAGGCAUGCUGGAGGUAUCAGAAGUGCGAAUGCUGACAUAAGUAACGAUAAAGCGGGUGAAAAGCCCGCUCGCCGGAAGACCAAGGGUUCCUGUCCAACGUUAAUCGGGGCAGGGUGAGUCGACCCCUAAGGCGAGGCCGAAAGGCGUAGUCGAUGGGAAACAGGUUAAUAUUCCUGUACUUGGUGUUACUGCGAAGGGGGGACGGAGAAGGCUAUGUUGGCCGGGCGACGGUUGUCCCGGUUUAAGCGUGUAGGCUGGUUUUCCAGGCAAAUCCGGAAAACUAAGGCUGAGGCGUGAUGACGAGGCACUACGGUGCUGAAGCAACAAAUGCCCUGCUUCCAGGAAAAGCCUCUAAGCAUCAGGUAACAUCAAAUCGUACCCCAAACCGACACAGGUGGUCAGGUAGAGAAUACCAAGGCGCUUGAGAGAACUCGGGUGAAGGAACUAGGCAAAAUGGUGCCGUAACUUCGGGAGAAGGCACGCUGAUAUGUAGGUGAAGUCCCUCGCGGAUGGAGCUGAAAUCAGUCGAAGAUACCAGCUGGCUGCAACUGUUUAUUAAAAACACAGCACUGUGCAAACACGAAAGUGGACGUAUACGGUGUGACGCCUGCCCGGUGCCGGAAGGUUAAUUGAUGGGGUCAGCGCAAGCGAAGCUCUUGAUCGAAGCCCCGGUAAACGGCGGCCGUAACUAUAACGGUCCUAAGGUAGCGAAAUUCCUUGUCGGGUAAGUUCCGACCUGCACGAAUGGCGUAAUGAUGGCCAGGCUGUCUCCACCCGAGACUCAGUGAAAUUGAACUCGCUGUGAAGAUGCAGUGUACCCGCGGCAAGACGGAAAGACCCCGUGAACCUUUACUAUAGCUUGACACUGAACAUUGAGCCUUGAUGUGUAGGAUAGGUGGGAGGCUUUGAAGUGUGGACGCCAGUCUGCAUGGAGCCGACCUUGAAAUACCACCCUUUAAUGUUUGAUGUUCUAACGUGGACCCGUAAUCCGGGUUGCGGACAGUGUCUGGUGGGUAGUUUGACUGGGGCGGUCUCCUCCUAAAGAGUAACGGAGGAGCACGAAGGUUGGCUAAUCCUGGUCGGACAUCAGGAGGUUAGUGCAAUGGCAUAAGCCAGCUUGACUGCGAGCGUGACGGCGCGAGCAGGUGCGAAAGCAGGUCAUAGUGAUCCGGUGGUUCUGAAUGGAAGGGCCAUCGCUCAACGGAUAAAAGGUACUCCGGGGAUAACAGGCUGAUACCGCCCAAGAGUUCAUAUCGACGGCGGUGUUUGGCACCUCGAUGUCGGCUCAUCACAUCCUGGGGCUGAAGUAGGUCCCAAGGGUAUGGCUGUUCGCCAUUUAAAGUGGUACGCGAGCUGGGUUUAGAACGUCGUGAGACAGUUCGGUCCCUAUCUGCCGUGGGCGCUGGAGAACUGAGGGGGGCUGCUCCUAGUACGAGAGGACCGGAGUGGACGCAUCACUGGUGUUCGGGUUGUCAUGCCAAUGGCACUGCCCGGUAGCUAAAUGCGGAAGAGAUAAGUGCUGAAAGCAUCUAAGCACGAAACUUGCCCCGAGAUGAGUUCUCCCUGACUCCUUGAGAGUCCUGAAGGAACGUUGAAGACGACGACGUUGAUAGGCCGGGUGUGUAAGCGCAGCGAUGCGUUGAGCUAACCGGUACUAAUGAACCGUGAGGCUUAACCUUACAACGCCGAAGCUGUU
Molecule: ribosomal RNA, 2930 nt
Filed under: Escherichia coli
Lineage: Bacteria; Pseudomonadati; Pseudomonadota; Gammaproteobacteria; Enterobacterales; Enterobacteriaceae
Description: 23S ribosomal RNA
Rfam family: Bacterial large subunit ribosomal RNA
Source: RNAcentral